Oncorhynchus tshawytscha (Chinook salmon) is the source of this 2345-nucleotide long non-coding RNA. Lineage: Eukaryota; Metazoa; Chordata; Actinopteri; Salmoniformes; Salmonidae. The record is from Ensembl.
CAUGGACAGUGGACCUCUGCGCUCGGUUGGUGCUGAAAAUAUGUAUCGGCUUCGGGCACCUCCGUACAAUCUACCUGCCGAUAUCGUUCGUGUCUUGGAUUAAAAAACGCCUAGCCGUUUUCUCAGCACAUGCACCGAAGGCCUCGACCAGUGAAAACGAACAACUUCAGAUACUUAUCUUUUAGGCGUACACUGCCGUAAUGGAAAGGGACAAUGUAGCUAUCUAGCCAAAUUGCUAACACUGAGAGGACCCAGCACCAAAACUUCGUAUGGAGAUUAAAACGGUUAUCAAUCUAAUCUAUCAACGGAGGACAUUCACGCGAUUUGGGAUUUAUUCACUCACGGAGCCGGUGUGACUCCAUAUAGCUAACGUUACAGGAGCUGUAUCCCGGCAGACAUCUAGAGGCCCUGCCACACACAUCUGGCUAAAGAGAGGAAGAUCACAAGUGACACCACAGCGGGGGUGGAGAGAGCGACCGUGCCCGUUGGAAAACCUGUUGGAUUUAAGUUCUCUUUAUUACAGAUUAUCACACUGCUCUCCUAACUGCCACCCUCCCCCUUCACACACACACCCACACACACUCGCACAGACACACACUCACACAGACGUAGAGACGGACACGAACAGAGACGGAUAGACGGAGACUAACACAGACACACACACUCCUCUAGAAGUAGCCCUAGAGAGUCACAUAAACGUCUCACAGUCACUCAGACUUGCGCUCCGAGACUCAGUUGGUUCUCAGGGGUCGUGGUGGGAGGGUGCCCCCCCCCCCUCUCGUUGCACUCCGCUGGGGGACGGAAGUAGAGGAAUGGCCCUGGGGGAAUGGCUGGCUGGCUGCCUCGCUCAGUGAGACGGAGGCUUAUGUAACUAACAAGCCCGCCUCAUCUUUCUCUCCUUGGCUAGCUAACACAGCUGGGCCUUGAGUCUACAGACACUGGGGAGGAGCUCAUCAGCCCCCCCACUAGGGAAUACAGCUUCCAGCUUCUAAUCUUCAGGCCCUCAUCCUUCCUCUCUGGGUUCAACUUCACAUUGCUAUUUUUUAAUUUUUUUAAUCCUUUUUAUUUUUUCAACCAUUUUUUCAGGAGGACAUUUUAAGGGUGUUUUGGAUAUGUGGGAUCGACCGCUGAGACUUCCUGCUUGUCUCCCAUUGGCUCAGGGAUGCCCCGACCAGAAAGAACAAAGUCUGAGAGUCCGUCUACGCGCACAUUGGCGUUUUUUAAGACGCUGUUUGGACUGAAGGGACAGCCAUUUAAUUAGUAAGGAAACUAGCUGACUUCUUGAUAUUCGUCUUCGCUGAUUUUUUUUGCUCUCGUUUUGAUGUUUUGUUUUUCCUAUCUCAUAUGACGAUUGAGAGACAAGACAGACAAGAAUCCACUUGGCCACAAUCAAAGGCCAUUUUGCUCUGCCUUUCUCUCUCCCUUGGUUUUUCUCUCUCCCUCAUUAUGCAUAUCGACUACCUGUUUACACACUAGACCAGCUACAGUGAUAGCCUACCUUUCUAUCGAGGCAGAAAAGAAACGAUUAAGUUGCGACCUUUUUAUGUCUUUUACCUGUGACAAAUCAAAAACCUUGCAGUCGGUCUCUACCUCCUCAAUCGCUUCAAACCCUUUUAAAAACGUCUGUGUCAGAACCAAAUCCAUACUCAGUCGAAUCUGCAUCACAGACCGAGUAGUGUACAGACUGAGCAGUCGACAGACCGUCCAAGCUACAGACCAAAACAACCUGUCAUCUUAGUCUGGGUGGGGAGAAGGUUAUUAGGUCGAUGUCAUUGAACUGGACCAGAGAUCUUUGAAAUAUUAAGUUAUUGCUGCGGGCUUUCAUUGAACAGGGAAUGUAUAGCAGGUCAACCAAGGUGAUCUGCCUCAUCCCCUGUACCUAACUGACAUUUUGACGCCCGAAAGUCGAGUUGUGUUUUUGAAACCAUUUCAAAGGCGACUAGAUGAGAGUAGGAUUGUAAUGAAUUAAGAAGAAAUGUAAGUUAAAACUGCUUUCACAAUCAUCCGCAUUAUGUUUUACUAGGACAUCCUACUUGUUUUCAUUUGAAAAGGGAGCGUCCAAGGUUUUUAUAUUCCACACCCAAACAAUCAAGCCAUAUCACAGCUUGUUCCUCUUUUCUAUUUGUUGCACUAUUUUAUUUUUGUAUCGUAAAAUCACUAAGCCUUCAAUGAAGUUAUUUACCUCUCGCACGCACGCACACAUUUCUUGAAAUUCCCCUUUAAAAUGUCAAGGCGUUGACCCAAAUCCACUGUAAGGAACCAGUUUAAAGACUAAAGGAAAAACCAAGCAAUUCAAAAGUAUCAGCCUUGAGAUUGACACACGAUUGAGCAGAAGUUGUUGUUGU